Molecule: ribosomal RNA, 460 nt
Filed under: uncultured bacterium
Lineage: Bacteria
Description: partial 16S ribosomal RNA
Rfam family: Bacterial small subunit ribosomal RNA
Source: RNAcentral
CCUACGGGUGGCAGCAGUGAGGAAUAUUGGUCAAUGGGCGCGAGCCUGAACCAGCCAAGUAGCGUGAAGGAUGACUGUCCUACGGGUUGUAAACCUCUUUUAUAAAGGAAUAAAGUGAGGCACGUGUGCCCUUUUGUAUGUACUUUAUGAAUAAGGAUCGGCUAACUCCGUGCCAGCAGCCGCGGUAAUACGGAGGAUCCGAGCGUUAUCCGGAUUUAUUGGGUUUAAAGGGAGCGUAGGUGGGUUGGUAAGUCAGUUGUGAAAGUUUGCGGCUCAACCGUAAAAUUGCAAUUGAUACUGGCAGUCUUGAGUAGAGUUGAAGUAGGCGGAAUGCGUGGUGUAGCGGUGAAAUGCUUAGAUAUCGCGAAGAACUCCGAUUGCGAAGGCAGCUUACUAACCUGCCACUGACGUUGAUGCUCGAAAGUGUGGGUAUCGAACAGGAUUAGAUACCCUUGUAGUC